Molecule: ribosomal RNA, 253 nt
Filed under: uncultured bacterium
Lineage: Bacteria
Description: partial 16S ribosomal RNA
Rfam family: Bacterial small subunit ribosomal RNA
Source: RNAcentral
UACGUAGGGGGCUAGCGUUGUCCGGAUUUAUUGGGCGUAAAGAGCGUGUAGGCGGCCAGGUAGGUCUGCUGUGAAAACUCGAGGCUCAACCUCGAGACGUCGGCGGAAACCAUCUGGCUAGAGUCCGGAAGAGGAGAGUGGAAUUCCUGGUGUAGCGGUGAAAUGCGCAGAUAUCAGGAGGAACACCGGUGGCGAAGGCGGUUCUCUGGGCCUGUACUGACGCUGAGGAACGAAAGCGUGGGGAGCGAACAGG